This 1663-nucleotide long non-coding RNA is filed under the name Anser brachyrhynchus (Pink-footed goose). RNAcentral describes it as "lncRNA (ENSABRG00000008972.1)". The record is from RNAcentral. Lineage: Eukaryota; Metazoa; Chordata; Aves; Anseriformes; Anatidae.
AUUAUUUCAAAUAAAAUCACAGCAGUCCCUGGCUAAAUACCUGAAAUGACAGGCGCUGGUUUCCUGCCAGCGCUGCUAAAAAAAAAAAUAAAAAAAAAAUCCCAGUCUUGGGCUCCAUCAAUAGCGGGGUGCAGCUUGAAGGACAGGUUUUGCCUGGGGAAUGGGCUGUUGUCCCAGGGAUCCAGGAGCCCUUUUUCCCCCCCGGCAAUGGGUCCUUUCUUGCGGGCACAAUGAGCCCUCUCGCUGCCUUUCUUGCCUUUUCUUCCCCGGCUUUCCCACAUUCUGUUCACACCUUCAUGAAUAUUCAGAGGCCAUGGGCCAUAUGAAGCUAUUGAGAGCUCUUGUUAACACUCCUGCUAAUGACGUGCACCUUCAAUGGAAAACAAAAACACAGAUAAGAGCUUGUUAGCGGAGACCCUUGUUCCCCACCUAACAAGGUUGCCAUUGACUCGGACACUUGUGGUGACACAUUGCUUGCUCUCGCUGUUGCCUCUUUUGAUUUGCGACUGGCUUUUACAGAGGGGUUUUUCUCCCCCCUCCUCCCAUUUUUUAUUUAUUUAUUUAUUUAUUUAUUUAUUUAUUUAUUUAUUUAUUUAUUUAUUUAUUUUAUUGUGAGGUUUUAAGCUAAUUAAGCAGAAGGUCAGGGCUCCCCUACCAAUGCCUGGCGGUGCGGGCAGGAGAUGCUCGGCCGCGGCGCGUGGGAACGCAGGGCCAGGAGCAGCGUCGCUCAGCCCCAACCCCAAAUCCGCGCUCCCCAAGGGCUCCCUGCCCGGCCAGAUGUCCCCGUAGGCCAAAACGCUGUCCCCAAGGUGAUGAGGUGGCUCCAAAAUGCUACCAGGCUCCUGAGCCGUGCUCUCAAGAUGCUCCUGGGAAACGCUGUUCCCAAUUUCUGGCUCUGCAAAGACAGCGGAGCCUCCUCGAUGCUGUGGCUCUGCUCCAUCCUCUGACUGUGCUUCGCGCUCCCCCGGCCACCGCUGUUAUCCGCGAGGCUUUCAUUAGGCCGGACCCACCCAUUCGAUCCUGCAAGAUGCCUGCUUGUUUUUUUUUGUUUUUUUUGGGUUUUUUUUGGCCACACCUCGUUAUUUCUGCUAUUAUGAGGCCCUCGCAGCGUUGUUUGUCAUCUUGUCGAGGCCCCUCGGUUUCUAUGGAUACUGCCUCCUCAGUGGCCAGGCUAUCAAUUAAAGACAGCUUCGGCUCCCAACUCUUCCCGAGGACUUCGCCGGGAGCCAGAGAUAAUUUCCCUGAAAAGCCCCGUCCGGCACGGCGUCGCCUCUCCAGCACCGGCCGCUCGGUUGCAGCUCAGCCUGUUCGGGUUUUCGAGGUAGAUGCGUGCUGCCAGCAGUGCUGCAAUAUCCAUCGAGGGCCGCCCAGAGGAGGUAGGAUGUAUUACGUGGAGUUUCUCCAUUAACAUUUAGCAAAGGACAGAUUUAAACAUUUCCGUGCCAUCCAGCCAUUUUACACCUUUUAACAACGUUCCUGGAUUAGCUCUGGCUUUCAUUCGAAAAUGUCUCUGCGAUACCUGGCAUUCACAGAUGCCGGUUUGCAAGAGCGCUGUCACGAUGCCCCUGCCCACACGCAACGCUGCCUGGAACCACAGAGUGAUAAAACCUCUCCUCGCUCUUCCUGGAUGUAAUUAUUUCUAAUAAAAUCUAUUUGUGCCUCA